GUAAUGUCUGGGAAACUGCCUGAUGGAGGGGGAUAACUACUGGAAACGGUGGCUAAUACCGCAUAACGUCGCAAGACCAAAGAGGGGGACCUUCGGGCCUCUUGCCAUCAGAUGUGCCCAGAUGGGAUUAGCUUGUUGGUGAGGUAACGGCUCACCAAGGCGACGAUCCCUAGCUGGUCUGAGAGGAUGACCAGCCACACUGGAACUGAGACACGGUCCAGACUCCUACGGGAGGCAGCAGUGGGGAAUAUUGCACAAUGGGCGCAAGCCUGAUGCAGCCAUGCCGCGUGUAUGAAGAAGGCCUUCGGGUUGUAAAGUACUUUCAGCGGGGAGGAAGGUGUUGUGGUUAAUAACCGCAGCAAUUGACGUUACCCGCAGAAGAAGCACCGGCUAACUCCGUGCCAGCAGCCGCGGUAAUACGGAGGGUGCAAGCGUUAAUCGGAAUUACUGGGCGUAAAGCGCACGCAGGCGGUCUGUCAAGUCGGAUGUGAAAUCCCCGGGCUCAACCUGGGAACUGCAUUCGAAACUGGCAGGC
Molecule: ribosomal RNA, 535 nt
Filed under: Salmonella enterica subsp. enterica serovar Enteritidis
Lineage: Bacteria; Pseudomonadati; Pseudomonadota; Gammaproteobacteria; Enterobacterales; Enterobacteriaceae
Description: bacterial SSU rRNA
Rfam family: Bacterial small subunit ribosomal RNA
Source: RNAcentral